UACGGGGGGGGCAAGCGUUGUUCGGAAUUACUGGGCGUAAAGGGCGCGUAGGCGGGUGGACAAGUCUCUCGUGAAAGCCCACGGCUCAACCGUGGAAUUGCGGGAGAUACUGUCUGUCUUGAGUCCGGGAGAGGAGGGUGGAAUUCCCAGUGUAGCGGUGAAAUGCGUAGAUAUUGGGAGGAACACCGGUGGCGAAGGAGGCUCUCUGGACCGGUAUUGACGUUGAGGCGCGAAAGCUAGGGGAGCAAACGGG
Molecule: ribosomal RNA, 253 nt
Filed under: uncultured bacterium
Lineage: Bacteria
Description: partial 16S ribosomal RNA
Rfam family: Bacterial small subunit ribosomal RNA
Source: RNAcentral